Molecule: long non-coding RNA, 884 nt
Filed under: Marmota monax (woodchuck)
Lineage: Eukaryota; Metazoa; Chordata; Mammalia; Rodentia; Sciuridae
Source: RNAcentral
UACCUCAGCCUCCUGAGUUGCUGGGCUUACAGGCAAGUGUCCGGCUGCUCCUAACUUGUUGGUUUAUCUUUCCUGCUUCCGCAUCAGAAGUGCUGACUAUGAUGUCUUUUUUUAAAAUAGCCGCCUACUGAAGUUGAUGUGGUCUGGCUUUCUGAUAGGACCAGAAGUCAAAACCAUUAUCUUUUCAGCCUGGUGAGCUCUUGUAGUCUAACAGUAUCUGUCACCAUGCUCCAUGGUAAAGCACUUGUCUAGCUUGUAUCAGGCCCUGGGCUUACUGCCCAACACCCAGAAAAACAUCCCCAAAAUGCAACAAGUCCACAAACAUCAUUAACUUUUCCAUAAGCCAACACUUUCAUCAUGAGAAAAUAUCCUGAAACCUAGACUGAUAUUGUAUUUGUGGUGUCAUGUUUUGUUGUACUUGGCCUGUUUCGUUGGCAUCAAUACAACGAGAGGUGCUGAGCAGGAGCCUGUGUAUGCUGCUGCCAUAAACAGUGAGGGACGUAGUAAACGCACUGUGUACUUAACUCCUGUUUAUUGUUCUAAGUGCUGAAAUCAAUCAAAGGGUGACAUCUUUUCUAAAUAAUCAUUAUUCUUUGAGUUUCCUUGACAAUUUUUCAAAUCUCUUUUUUUACUUAACUAUAGUGCACUGAUUAUAAAAUUAAUGAGUUUCAUUGUGACCCUUUCAUGCUUGUGUAGAAUGUGCUCUGAUUGCACCCACCCUCCCUAGCACCCUCACUUACCACUCCCCUCCCAGGGUCUCGGGAAAGUUCAAUCCAUCAAAACUUUCUCAGGUUUCCCCUGAAAUAUCAACUGAAAUUAUCAACUGAAAGUGUGUUAAACAGAGAGAUGAAGACAGAUGAAGGGGCCAACCGACAUGAACGUGA